ACGGAAGGCAGCAGUGGGGAAUAUUGCACAAUGGGGGAAACCCUGAUGCAGCGACGCCGCGUGAAGGAAGAAGUAUCUCGGUAUGUAAACUUCUAUCAGCAGGGAAGAAAAUGACGGUACCUGACUAAGAAGCCCCGGCUAACUACGUGCCAGCAGCCGCGGUAAUACGUAGGGGGCAAGCGUUAUCCGGAUUUACUGGGUGUAAAGGGGGCGUAGACGGAAUUGCAAGUCUGAUGUGAAAGGCAUGGGCUCAACCUGUGGACUGCAUUGGAAACUGUGAUUCUUGAGUGCCGGAGGGGUAAGCGGAAUUCCUGGUGUAGCGGUGAAAUGCGUAGAUAUCAGGAGGAACACCGGUGGCGAAGGCGGCUUACUGGACGGCAACUGACGUUGAGGCUCGAAGGCGUGGGGAGCAAACAGGAUUAGAUACCCUGGUA
This 434-nucleotide ribosomal RNA is filed under the name uncultured Blautia sp. RNAcentral describes it as "partial 16S ribosomal RNA". It matches the Rfam family "Bacterial small subunit ribosomal RNA", at positions 341 to 792 of the family's 1533-position model. The record is from RNAcentral. Lineage: Bacteria; Bacillati; Bacillota; Clostridia; Lachnospirales; Lachnospiraceae.